AUUCUGAAGAAAUAAGAGUGGUUGUGGGGUUCACAGCAGUGGUUGUAUAACCUUCAGUGGUCAAAGAUUGUGCUGUAGCAGCAUUUGUUGUUGUUGUAGGUGCAGUUGCUGAUGAUAUAAGAGUUUUUGUGGGGUUCACAGCUUUGGUAGUAGAAGCUUCAGCUGUCGAAGACAGUGGAAUUAUUGUUGGAGCAGAAUUUUCUUUUGAUGUAGGUAUUGAGAAUACAGGCAUAGUUGUGGGAUUCACUGCUGUGGUGGUUAAAGCUUCAUUUGUUUUUGAAAAUGUUGUUGUUUGAGCAGUAUUUGCCGUGGUUGUAGUUUCUAAGAAUAUAACAGUGGUUGUGGAGGUCACAGCUGUGGUUGUAUAACCUUCAAUGGUUGAGGAUGGUGUUGAAGCAGCAGUUGUUCUAGGAGCAGUUAUUGAGGAUAUAAGAGUGUUUGUGGGGGACACAGCUGUAGAAGCUUCAGUUGUCGAAAACAGUGCAACUUCAUCUGUUGCUGUAGAUGCAAAGAAUACAGGCAUGGUUGUGGGGUUCAGAUCUGCAGUUGUUGAAACUUCAGUUGUUAAAGAUGGUGCUGUUGUUGUUGUUGAAGCAGCAUUUGUUACUGUUGAAGGUGCAGUUGUACUUGGUGAAGACAUGAGUGUGGUUGUGGAAGCCUCAGUUUCUGUAGAUGGUGCUGUUGUUGUUGUACUUCGUGAUGAUAUGAGAGUGGUUGUGGGGGUCACCUCUGUAGUUGUGGAAGCUUCAGUUUCUGUUGAUGGUGCUGUUGUUGUUGAAGCAGCAUUUGUUGCUGGUGAUGGUGCAGUUGUACUUUGUGAGGAUAUGAGAGUGGUUGUGGGGGUCACCUCUAUGGUUGUGGAAGCUUCAGUUUCUGUUGAUUGUGCUGUUGUUGUAUUUAGUGAGGAUAUCAGAGUGGUUGUUGGUGUCACCUCUGUAGUUGUGGAAGCUUCAGUUUCUGUUGAUGGUACUGUUGUUGUACUUCGUGAUGAUAUGAGAGUGGUUGUGGGGGUCACCUCUGUAGUUGUGGAAGCUUCAGUUUCUGUUGAUGGUGCUGUUGUUGUUGAACUUCGUGAUGAUAUGAGAGUGGUUGUGGGGGUCACCUCUCUAGUUGUGGAAGCUUCAGUUUCUGUUGAUGGUGCUGUUGUUGUUGUACUUGGUGAGGAUAUGAGAGUGGUUGUGGUAGUCACCUCUUUGGUUGUGGAAGCUUCAGUUUCUAUUGAUGGUGCUGUUGUUGUAUUUAGUGAGGAUACCAGAGUGGUUGUGGGGGUCACCUCUAUGGUUGUGGAAACUUCAGUUUCCGUUGACGGUGCUGUUGUUGUUGAAGCAGCAGCAUUUGUUGCUGUUGAAGGUGCAGUUGUACUUGGUGAGGAUAUAAGUGUGGUUGUGGGGAUCACAUCUAUGGUUGUGGAAGCCUCAGUUUCUGUUGAUGGUCCUGUUGUUGUUGAAGCAGCAUUUGUUGCUGUUGAAGGUGCAGUUGUACUUGGUGAGGAUAUGGGAGUGGUUGUGGGGGUCACAUCUAUGGUUGUGGAAGCCUCAGUUUCUGUUGAUGGUGCUGUUGUUGUUGAAGCAGCAUUUGUUGUUGAUGGUGCAGUUGUACUUGGUGAGGAAAUGAGAGUGGUUGUGGAAGCUUCAGUUUCUGUUAAUGGUGCUGUUGUUGUUGCACUUGGUGAGGAUAUGAGAGUGGUUGUGGGGAUAACCUCUAUGGUUGUGGAAACUUCAGUUUCUGUUGAUGGUGCUGUUGUUGUUGUACUUGGUAAGGAUAUAAGUGUGAUUGUGGGGGAUCACAUCUAUGGUUGUGGAAGCUUCAGUUUCCGUUGACGGUGCUGUUGUUGUUGAAGCAGCAUUUGUUGUUGUUGAUGCUGCAGUUGUACUUGGUGAGGAUAUGAGAGAGGAUGUGGGGGUCACCUCUUUGGUUGUGGAAACUUCAGUUUCUGUUGAUGGUGCUGUUGUACUUGGUAAGGAUAUGAGAGUGGUUGUGGUAGUCACCUCUAUGGUUGUGGAAGCUUCCGUUUCUGUUGAUGGUGCUGUUGUUGAUGAAGCAGGAGCAUUUGUUGCUGUUGAAGGUGCAGUUUUACUUGGUGAGGAUAUAAGUGUGGUUGUGGGGAUCACAUCUAUGGUUGUGGAAGCCUCAGUUUCUGUUGAUGGUGCUGUUGUUGUUGUACUUGGUGAGGAUAUGAGAGUGGUUGUGGUGGUCACCUCUUUGGUUGUGGAAGCUUCAGUUUCUGUUGAUGGUGCUGUUGUUAAUGAAGCAGCAUUUGUUGCUGUUGAAGGUGCAGUUGUACUUGGUGAGGAUAUAAGUGUGGUUGUGGGGAUCACAUCUCUGGUUGUGGAAACCUCAGUUUCUGUUGAUGGGGCUGUUGUACUUGGUAAGGAUAUGAGAGUGGUUGUGGUAGUCACCUCUAUGGUUGUGGAAGCUUCCGUUUCUGUUGAUGGUGCUGUUGUUGUUGUACUUGGUGAGGAAAUGAGAGUGGUUGUGGUGGUCACCUCUAUGGUUGUGGAAGCUUCAGUUUCUGUUGAUGGUGCUGUUGUUGUUGAAGCAGCAUUUGUUACUGUUGAAAGUGUAGUUGUACUUGGUGAGGAUAUAAGUGUGGUUGUGGGGGUCACCUCUAUGGUUGUGGAAGCGUUGGUUUCUGAUGAUGGUGCUAUUGUUGUACUUGGUGAGGAUAUAUGUGUGGUUGUGGGAAUGACAUCUAUGGUUGUGGAAGCUUCAGUUUCUGUUGAUGGUGCUGUUGUUGUUAAAGCAGCAUUUGUUGCUGUUGAUGGUGCAUUUGUACUUGGUGAGAAUAUGAGAGUGGUUGUGGGGAUCACAUCUGUGGUUGUGAAAGCUCCAGUUUCUGUUGUCAUUGAAAAUGACAUUGCUGUUUGACCUGUAGCUGUUGCUGAAGAUACAUUUUCUGUAGGAGCCUCAGUUGUAGAUGCAAUUGAUAUUGAAUCAGUAGUUGUUGGAGAUGUAGUUGUGAAAGUCGCAGCUAUGCAUGUAUUUUGUUUGAGGAUCAUAGCUGUGGUAAGAGAUGCUUUAGUUCUUAUUAUACAAACUUCACUGGCUGUUGAAAUUGGUGUUGUUGGUGUUAUGGAGGUUGUACCUCCACAAACAAUGCACCAUACAUAUACUGUCAAGAAAAAAAAAAAAAAAAGAAAAAAAAAUCAUUUAAUUGCUGUAUUAACUUUUGACCAUUUGAAAUUUAAAUUACACUAUUAUCAAAUUCCAUGAACAUUUUAAUAGCAUUUGAUUACGUCACAUUUUUAUUUAACAAUUUCUCAACACAAAAUAUCCAGAUUAAGAGUAUACGUACAUAUGGUGAGGAAUACGGUCCAUCUGGCCUCAUAUUUUGAAAUGAAACACCACCUAAAAUAGAAGAUAAACAAUUUAUAUUUUGUCUUUAAUAAAUUACAAAACAUUCAUGUAUUCAUGCUACUGAAUGCAACUUCUAAUUCACUGUGUUUAUUAAACAAAAUCUGUAAUUGUAUUUAAGGAGUAUAAUUAUAUGAAGAAGCACUGUAAGUCAAGACAAAGCUCUCAGCCAGGCCAGUUUACAUUAUAUGUUAGGGACCAGUUGGACUCUGCAUUCAAGAUAUAUACAUUUCUAUCAGCUUGCAUUCCCUGGGAAUAAAACCCAUGCACAGAGUCAUUCAAACAAACACUAAACACCAUCAAGGUAACACAAGUGAAACUGAAAGAAUGCAAUAAACAUUAAUUAAAAAAAUUAGAUGUAACAUACUACCCUAAUGUACAAAACUGAUGAGAAAAAAAAAACUAAGAAACAUUAUUUAAAAAAAAAAAAAAAAAAAAAAAACAUCAAACUUGAAAUGUAAUGCAGGGAAUUCUGGGAAUAUCAAUUUAUGGUUAUUCACUGUAAAUUAUAUGUUCUUUUUCUCACUUCCAAAAAUGGUAUACUACUGUAAAAUUACAUGUAUUGUCCAAUUCAGUUUUUCACCGUAUAUAGUAUCACAUAUCAUUAACCAUUUAACAGGUUUUUACUAUAGCAUUUUUAGCAAACUGUAGUCUUUUACCGUUAAAUUCACUGUCAUUUUUUACAGUGUUCUUUAAGGUUAGAUGAAAGCUGUUCCCGAUUAACCCAGAGGAAAAUGCUAAUCCAGAUGACUGUGAAUUGUUUUGUAACUGUCUUUUGGCAUGAAUUUGCAGUUUUUUCAGCUCUAAUCAAUGCUCAUGAAACAUCUGAUGUGUAUUCAUGGUUUUGCUGUGACUACCACAUGCUAAUUACUGUGAAGUCCACAACAUCAUAGGGCAGUGGUUCCCAAUCCUGUCCUGGAGAGCCCCCAAAACUGCACCUUUUGAUGUCUCUCUUAUCUGACACACAUUUUAGGUCUUGGAGUUUUUACUAAUGAACUGAUGAGUUCAAUCAGGUGUGUUUGAUUAGGGAAUCAUUUAAAAUAUGCAAUGUUGGGGGCAGUGGUUCCCAAUCCUGGUCCUGGAGAACUCCCAACAAUGGACGUUUUUGAUGUCUCUAUUAUCUAACACACAUUUGAGGUCUUGGAGUUUAUACUAAUGAACUGAUGAGUUCAAUCAGGUGUGUUUGAUUAGGGUGACAUUAAAAAUAUACAGUGUUGGGGAUUCUCCAGGACCAGGAUUGGGAACCAAUGCCAUAAGGUAUCCUAUUUGUCAUUUUAGAUUUCAAAAGUCUGCUCAUGAGCACCCCCUGGUGACUGAAUACAUAGCCUCAAUGCAUACUUUUGCCAUCUAUCCAGUGCACUACCCAACAAAUUUAUACAGCAUUAGGUCACCAAUGUAUGAAUGUGAUGUCACCAGUAAUUAUUAAUCAUUUCUGAUUUAAUUAUCAUCUAUUAAAGCUCAAAAUGGGUUCGACAUAAUACCAAAUUUAAUAACUGGGUUACUUCAAUUUGCGAGACGGAAUUUUACGUAAAUCCAAUUGGCCUCAUUUUUUUAUCUAUCUAUCUAUCUAUCUAUCUAUCUAUCUAUCUAUCUAUCUAUCUAUCUGCCUGUCUAUCUGUCUGUCUAUCAUUCUGUCCAUCUCUCUGUUUUUCUACUUUUCAACAAACAAGGCUUUUUCAAGCCAACAUUCUUGCUUUUCUAGAUGAAAAUUACAGAUUUUUUUAUUUUUUUAAUUCAGUUUAAUUCUACUUCCUUACUUGGUGCCUCAUUUGAAAUUUAAGUUUAAGAAAUGAAUUGUAAUUUACAUUACAUUACAUUUACAUUUAGUCAUUCAGUAGACGCUUUUAUCCAAAGCAAACAAAUGAGGAUGACGGAAGCAAUCAAGAUCAAUAAAAGAGCAAUUAUAUGCAAGUGCUCUAACAAGUCUCAGUUAACUUAAUGCAGUACAUGUGGCAAAGUUUUUUAAAUCAUAAAUAAAAUAAAAUAAAAUAAAAUAAAAUAAAAUAAAAUAAAAUAAAAUAAAAUAAAAUAAAAUAAAAUAAAAUAAAAUAAAAAGAUAGAAUAGGAAAAGAAUAGAGCAAGCUAUAGUGUUAGAGGCCUUUUUUGCUUUUGGUAAUUGUAUAAUCAAUAAAAAAAGAAAACAGAUAGAAUACAAAAAGAUUAGAGAAGCUAGUGUUAGUUUCUUUUUUUUUUUUAAAGAAAACAAGUUGUUAGUAAAAGAAUAAAAUUAGAAUAGAGAGUGCUAGAGUUAUAGGGUCAAAUAAAGAUGGAAGAGAUGUGUUUUUAGCCAAUUCUUAAAGAUGGCUAAGGACUCAGCUGCUCGGAUUGAGUUGGGCAGGUCAUUCCACCAGAAGGGAACAUUUCAUUUAAAAGUCUGUGAAAGUGAAUUUGUGCCUCUUUGGGAUGACACAAUAAAGCGACGUUCACUUGCAGAACGCAAGCUUCUAGAGGGCACAUAAGUCUGAAGUAAUGUAUUUAGGUAAUGCAGUGCAAAUUUUAAUUUAGCAAUUUAAAAGGCAUUCUUAAUUAAAUUCUUAAUUGCUUUAAAGUUAAUACAAGUUUACAACAAAUCACAAAAGCAGACACAGGGCUAUUUUAAACAGAUAACAUUUUUACAUACUAUAAAUGUUGUUGUAUUGAAUAUUAUGUAUUAUUGAGUGCUAUACAGUAUUAUAUGCUGUAUGAUUUCAAUCAUUUUAAAUGUAAUAAUUCACCUACCUCCUUCGGCUGUUUAAAGUCAUAACCAUAUAGACCAAACGGUAUUGCAAAGCUCUGUGUGAUUUGUCUUCUUAGUUCAAAUGUAACAGACUGAAAAGAGUAAUUUUGUGCGAUACUAUAUCAAAGGUAUGUUGACGUGUAGGGUGUGGUAAAAAGUGUAGUUCAGCGACCGAACCCUGUAGUACGCAAUACAGAAGCAUGAUGGUAUUAUUU
Molecule: long non-coding RNA, 6285 nt
Organism: Cyprinus carpio carpio
Lineage: Eukaryota; Metazoa; Chordata; Actinopteri; Cypriniformes; Cyprinidae
Source: Ensembl